Molecule: ribosomal RNA, 406 nt
Filed under: uncultured bacterium
Lineage: Bacteria
Description: partial 16S ribosomal RNA
Rfam family: Bacterial small subunit ribosomal RNA
Source: RNAcentral
AUUGAACGCUGGCGGCAGGCCUAACACAUGCAAGUCGAGCGCGCGGCGGACGGGGGAGUAAUGUCUGGGAAACUGCGUGAUGGAGGGGGAGAACUACUGGGGACGGUAGCUAAUACCGCAUACCAUCAGAUGUGCCCAGAUGGGAGUAGCUCGUAGGUGGGGUAACGGCUUACCUAGGCGAGGAUCCCUAUCUGGUCUUAGAGGAUGACCAGCCACACUGGAACUGAGACACGGUCCAGACUCCUACGGGAGGCAGCAGUGGGGAAUAUUGCACAAUGGGCGCAAGCCUGAUGCAGCCAUGCCGCGUGUGUGAAGAAGGCCUUCGGGUUGUAAAGCACUUUCAGCGGGGAGGCGUUACCCGCAGAAGAAGCACCGGCUAACUCCGUGCCAGCAGCCGCGGUAAUAC